CAGUCGCCACGGUAAUACGAGGGGGGCAAGCGUUGUUCGGAAUUAUUGGGCGUAAAGGGCGCGUAGGCGGUUUGGCAAGUUUGGUGUGAAAUCUUCGGGCUCAACUCGAAGUCUGCACCGAAAACUGCCGGGCUUGAGUAUGGGAGAGGUGAGUGGAAUUUCCGGUGUAGCGGUGAAAUGCGUAGAUAUCGGAAGGAACACCUGUGGCGAAAGCGGCUCACUGGACCAUUACUGACGCUGAGGCGCGAAAGCUAGGGGAGCAAACAGGAUUAGAUACCCGCGUAGUCCCUGUCUCUUAUAC
This 301-nucleotide ribosomal RNA is filed under the name uncultured bacterium. Its description in RNAcentral is "partial 16S ribosomal RNA". It matches the Rfam family "Bacterial small subunit ribosomal RNA", at positions 509 to 807 of the family's 1533-position model. The record is from RNAcentral.